RNAcentral lists this long non-coding RNA (735 nucleotides) under Monodelphis domestica (gray short-tailed opossum). Its description in RNAcentral is "lncRNA (ENSMODG00000046420.1)". Lineage: Eukaryota; Metazoa; Chordata; Mammalia; Didelphimorphia; Didelphidae. The record is from RNAcentral.
GCAUUUGUUAAACUCCUACUAUGUGCUAGAAUAAAAAAAAAUUAAAAACCCAAAUGUCUUUCCUUAUCCUGGAGAUUCCCUUCCCACAAGCAUAUUAGAGAUGUGAAUUUUAGAUUUACUCCACCCUGCUUAGUCUAACAAAACAGGAAUGUCUAUACCCCUACUUAAGGAUUAAGUGUUGAGAAGGAUGGCCUAUGACAGACAUGUGCUAGCAAAUAACAAAUCAGAAACAACUGACAGACCCCCUGAACUGUCCUAAGUCAAGUUUAAGCUACCAUUGGUACAUAUGAUAUGCAGGAAGUGAUGUAAAAAUGCUCUAUAUAUUUCGUGUCACUUCCUCUCUCCUCUCUCUUUUCACGGAGAGGUGGCUCUGGCUCUGGUGGCGGAGAGGUGGUUGGUGGCAGUGUGCUGAGUGUCUUGGCAUCUUUGCAUGGCUGUAGCUAUUGACUGGGUUUGGUGGGUACAUAAUGGUGAUAAUAUUGAAGAAUCAUUUCACUAGGUAUCUGACAGAGAAUGCAGCAAAGAAAUUUUAUUCUGAGAGGGGACAUGAAGGCUUCACCAGACUGCCCAGGGGUCUAUGAAUGUAACCAAAAAGAUCAAGAACCCCAGUACCAAGGCAUCUGGAGCAAGUUAAGGUGUCAGGGUUAUUGAACCCUGAAAAUAAGUGUGAAGAAACUGAAGACUUCCUUUUUUAUUCGAAGGUUUCAUUUGGAAUUUUAAGCAUUAUAAUAGGAA